Non-coding RNA from Schistosoma curassoni, 46 nucleotides. The record is from Rfam. NCBI's taxonomy places the organism in Eukaryota, Metazoa, Platyhelminthes, Trematoda, Strigeidida, Schistosomatidae.
ACACUGCUGAAGAGUCCUGCAAUAGGGCGAAACAGCCGUCCAGUGC